Molecule: non-coding RNA, 270 nt
Organism: Tinamus guttatus (white-throated tinamou)
Lineage: Eukaryota; Metazoa; Chordata; Aves; Tinamiformes; Tinamidae
Source: RefSeq, a predicted model, not a curated record
CAGUCCCCUGUGGGCACAGCAGUGUGGAAGCCAAUACUAUGCAACAGGAGUCUGUUCUGAAAUCAGUCCAAGUUUCCAGAUCCUAAGAAGCUUUUCUCCUGCUGUUCAAAAAUGUUCCUCUGUCAUAGAUGUUGUGGUGGUUUGUGAUGAGUCAAACAGCAUCUAUCGCUGGGAUGCAGUGCGUGCUUUUUUGAAAAAGUUUGUGCAGGGCUUAGACAUAGGCUCUAUCAAAACCCAGGUAAGUCAAAGACAUCUUUGGAAAAGACAGAG